AGAUUGAACGCUGGCGGCAUGCCUUACACAUGCAAGUCGAACGGCAGCACGGGAGCAAUCCUGGUGGCGGGUGGCGAACGGGUGAGUAAUAUAUCGGAACGUGCCCAGUCGUGGGGGAUAACGCAGCGAAAGCUGUGCUAAUACCGCAUACGAUCUAUGGAUGAAAGCGGGGGAUCGCAAGACCUCGCGCGAUUGGAGCGGCCGAUAUCAGAUUAGCUAGUUGGUGGGGUAAAAGCCUACGAAGGCGACGAUCUGUAGCUGGUCUGAGAGGACGACCAGCCACACGU
RNAcentral lists this ribosomal RNA (287 nucleotides) under uncultured soil bacterium. RNAcentral describes it as "partial 16S ribosomal RNA". It matches the Rfam family "Bacterial small subunit ribosomal RNA", at positions 26 to 315 of the family's 1533-position model. The record is from RNAcentral.